CCUACGGGCUGCACCAGUAGGGAAUCUUCGGCAAUGGACGAAAGUCUGACCGAGCAACGCCGCGUGAGUGGAGAAGGUUUUCGGAUCGUAAAACUCUGUUGUUAGAGAAGAACAAGUAGGAGAGUAACUGCUCUUACCUUGACGGUAUCUAACCAGAAAGCCACGGCUAACUACGUGCCAGCAGCCGCAGUAAUACGUAGGUGGCAAGCGUUGUCCGGAUUUAUUGGGCGUAAAGCGAGCGCAGGCGGUCUUUUAAGUCUGAUGUGAAGGCCCUCGGCUCAACCGAGGAAGGUCAUUGGAAACUGGAGGACUUGAGUGCUGAAGAGGAGAGUGGAAUUCCAUGUGUAGCGGUGAAAUGCGUAGAUAUAUGGAGGACCACCAGUGGCGAAGGCGACUCUCUGGUCUGUAACUGACGCUGAGGCUCGAAAGCGUGGGGAGCAAACAGGAUUAGAUACCCCUGUAGC
RNAcentral lists this ribosomal RNA (464 nucleotides) under uncultured bacterium. RNAcentral describes it as "bacterial SSU rRNA". It matches the Rfam family "Bacterial small subunit ribosomal RNA", at positions 338 to 794 of the family's 1533-position model. The record is from RNAcentral.